This is a small nuclear RNA of Panthera leo (lion), 184 nucleotides long. Its record names the gene U2. It matches the Rfam family "U2 spliceosomal RNA". From Rfam's summary of the family: U2 is a small nuclear RNA (snRNA) component of the spliceosome (involved in pre-mRNA splicing). Complementary binding between U2 snRNA (in an area lying towards the 5' end but 3' to hairpin I) and the branchpoint sequence (BPS) of the intron results the bulging out of an unpaired adenosine, on the BPS, which initiates a nucleophilic attack at the intronic 5' splice site, thus starting the first of two transesterification reactions that mediate splicing. Lineage: Eukaryota; Metazoa; Chordata; Mammalia; Carnivora; Felidae. The record is from Ensembl.
AUCGCUUCUUGGCCUUUUGGCUAAGAUCAAGUGUAGAAAUUGGUUUGACGUCAGAGUUGGGUUUGUAUUUGAGUUUGUUUCCAAACCUCUUGUACAAGAUAACACUAAGGACUUCCCUUUGUGCAUUUUUUUUCUGCCCAAGUUUCCCCUGGCAGUGAGAGUCAGGAAGAUUUGGGUUCAAUAA